AAGAAACCUUGGGAGGAGCAAUUCAGAGAGGGAUCCCCUCCUCCAGAGACGAUGUAGGACAGGACCGGGAGACUCGCGACCAGGUCCAGCGUUGGCCGACCGACGACCAGGCAGAUAGCCGGCAUCUUGAGAUCUAAGUGUCC
Osmerus eperlanus (European smelt) is the source of this 143-nucleotide long non-coding RNA. RefSeq lists it as uncharacterized. Lineage: Eukaryota; Metazoa; Chordata; Actinopteri; Osmeriformes; Osmeridae. The record is from RefSeq and is a predicted model, not a curated record. The transcript is spliced from 3 exons.